CCUACGGGCGGCUGCAGUGGGGAAUAUUGCACAAUGGGCGCAAGCCUGAUGCAGCCAUGCCGCGUGUGUGAAGAAGGCCUUCGGGUUGUAAAGCACUUUCAGCGGGGAGGAAGGCGGUGAGGUUAAUAACCUCAUCGAUUGACGUUACCCGCAGAAGAAGCACCGGCUAACUCCGUGCCAGCAGCCGCGGUAAUACGGAGGGUGCAAGCGUUAAUCGGAAUUACUGGGCGUAAAGCGCACGCAGGCGGUCUGUCAAGUCGGAUGUGAAAUCCCCGGGCUCAACCUGGGAACUGCGUUCGAAACUGGCAGGCUAGAGUCUUGUAGAGGGGGGUAGAAUUCCAGGUGUAGCGGUGAAAUGCGUAGAGAUCUGGAGGAAUACCGGUGGCGAAGGCGGCCCCCUGGACAAAGACUGACGCUCAGGUGCGAAAGCGUGGGGAGCAAACAGGAUUAGAUACCCUUGUAGUC
RNAcentral lists this ribosomal RNA (465 nucleotides) under uncultured Klebsiella sp. RNAcentral's name for it is "bacterial SSU rRNA". It matches the Rfam family "Bacterial small subunit ribosomal RNA", at positions 338 to 795 of the family's 1533-position model. Lineage: Bacteria; Pseudomonadati; Pseudomonadota; Gammaproteobacteria; Enterobacterales; Enterobacteriaceae. The record is from RNAcentral.